AAAAGGAAGAAGGAAGGAAGGAAGGAAGGAAGGAAAAAGAAAAAUCAGUGUAAGAUGCUUAAUGAUAUGCUCAUAGACAGGGCAGCUUUCCUUAUGGUUCCAGAGUUACUAUCACUUCAUAAAACGAAUGCCCUUUUUCUCUAAUUAGAAUUGAGUAAGUGGUGAGGAUUACCGAUUCUUUUGGAAAUUUGGUAGAUUUUCUUGUUUAAGCUCUGAUACUGACAACCCUCAAAGGGCAGCAGGGGCUGAACCUUGCCGGUAUCUGGCAUGGGUUGCCUUCAGUCAUUUCUCUUAGAAACGCAUGCUACAUUUGUGAUUGCAAGUAUAUUGGUAUAAAAUGUGGUGAGGAGAGGAGGCUACAAAGACUUUUGUAAAUAUUGAUGAGACAACAGCUUGACCAGAUCUUCUCCUGCUUAGCUCAGUGACUCAACAAACUCACUCUUUCAGGAAGCGCAGACUUACACAAAGGUUUGUAGAUGAAUCUUCUAACAGCUCUAUUCUUCAAAAGUCUCCGCGCUGAAUACCUCAAAGUCAUCAACAGUUGAAUUGGUAAAUCGUGAUAUAUAAUAUGGCAGACUCCGGGGAGGGGAGGUUAAGAGGAAAUGAGCUAGUCUUGACACUCAACAUGAAUUCUGUAAUGUUGCUGAGUAAAAGAAAGCAUACAUAAAAAGUACAUUUUUUUGUGACACAAUGGAUACAACCCUGAGAAAGACAGGGUGUGGGGGCCAAAGGACAACUUUCAGGGUUCACCGUGUGGGAUCUGAGCUUGAUCAUCAUCAGGCCAUUGGGCCUAUAGAAACAUCGCUACCCUGAGCCAUCUCUCCAGCUCCCAUUUCUGAAAGACAGCCUACAGAUCCCUCUCUUUUGGAGAGAACUGUUAACGAAGCAGCCUCACAUUUGGAGACCGGAGGGACUGCCGUCCUGGUCCUCCCACUGAAGACCACUUCAAAGAUGUCUUGAGGAGACUACCCUCCAGCUGCGACCAUGGCUGCUGCCGAAGCCGCCAUUUCUCCUUCAGGAGGUCUUGCUCUGGUACAGCUGCACCAGCUUACAUCAGUAACAAGAACAUCAAUCAGCCACGGCAGGGCUUCUCUUCCGGCAGCUGUUCUCACUCAGGAUGGGAAUGCUAUCGGUGACUCAGAAAAUAAAAAGUUGUUAUUUGGUGCUUA
Non-coding RNA from Myodes glareolus (Bank vole), 1169 nucleotides. The record is from RefSeq and is a predicted model, not a curated record. Lineage: Eukaryota; Metazoa; Chordata; Mammalia; Rodentia; Cricetidae.